This 502-nucleotide ribosomal RNA is filed under the name uncultured bacterium. RNAcentral's name for it is "bacterial SSU rRNA". It matches the Rfam family "Bacterial small subunit ribosomal RNA", at positions 28 to 517 of the family's 1533-position model. The record is from RNAcentral.
GAUGAACGCUAGCUACAGGCUUAACACAUGCAAGUCGAGGGGAAACGAUAGAGAAAGCUUGCUUUUUCUAGGCGUCGACCGGCGCACGGGUGAGUAACGCGUAUCCAACCUGCCCAUCACUUGGGGAUAACCUUGCGAAAGUAAGACUAAUACCCAAUGACGUCUCUAGAAGACAUCUGAAAGAGAUUAAAGAUUUAUCGGUGAUGGAUGGGGAUGCGUCUGAUUAGCUUGUUGGCGGGGUAACGGCCCACCAAGGCGACGAUCAGUAGGGGUUCUGAGAGGAAGGUCCCCCACAUUGGAACUGAGACACGGUCCAAACUCCUACGGGAGGCAGCAGUGAGGAAUAUUGGUCAAUGGACGAGAGUCUGAACCAGCCAAGUAGCGUGCAGGAUGACGGCCCUAUGGGUUGUAAACUGCUUUUAUAAGGGAAUAAAGUGAGUCUCGUGAGGCUUUUUGCAUGUACCUUAUGAAUAAGGACCGGCUAAUUCCGUGCCAGCAGCCG